RNAcentral lists this ribosomal RNA (710 nucleotides) under uncultured bacterium. RNAcentral describes it as "bacterial SSU rRNA". It matches the Rfam family "Bacterial small subunit ribosomal RNA", at positions 94 to 823 of the family's 1533-position model. The record is from RNAcentral.
AGCGGCGGACGGGUGAGUAACGCGUGGGUAACCUGCCCUGUACACACGGAUAACAUACCGAAAGGUAUGCUAAUACGAGAUAAUAUGCUUUUAUCGCAUGGUAGAAGUAUCAAAGCUUUUGCGGUACAGGAUGGACCCGCAUCUGAUUAGCUAGUUGGUAAGGUAACGGCUUACCAAGGCGACGAUCAGUAGCCGACCUGAGAGGGUGAUCGGCCACAUUGGAACUGAGACACGGUCCAAACUCCUACGGGAGGCAGCAGUGGGGAAUAUUGCACAAUGGGCGAAAGCCUGAUGCAGCAACGCCGCGUGAGCGAUGAAGGCCUUCGGGUCGUAAAGCUCUGUCCUCAAGGAAGAUAAUGACGGUACUUGAGGAGGAAGCCCCGGCUAACUACGUGCCAGCAGCCGCGGUAAUACGUAGGGGGCUAGCGUUAUCCGGAAUUACUGGGCGUAAAGGGUGCGUAGGUGGUUUCUUAAGUCAGAGGUGAAAGGCUACGGCUCAACCGUAGUAAGCCUUUGAAACAGGGAAACUUGAGUGCAGGAGAGGAGAGUGGAAUUCCUAGUGUAGCGGUGAAAUGCGUAGAUAUUAGGAGGAACACCAGUUGCGAAGGCGGCUCUCUGGACUGUAACUGACACUGAGGCACGAAAGCGUGGGGAGCAAACAGGACUAGAUACCCUGGUAGUCCACGCCGUAAGCGAUGAAUACUAGGUGU